ACAUAUCAUAACGAAGAGGUAUCGUAAUUGAAGAGGUUUGGAAAGACCCACCACAGAAGGUAAUAGUCCUGUAUGUUAAACGAGAAGACUUUAGAUAUGAUCCAGAGUACCACGGGACACGUGAAACCCUGUGGGAAGCAGGAGGGACCACCCUCCAAGGCUAAAUACUACCUAGUGACCGAUAGCGUAUAGUACCGUGAGGGAAAGGUGAAAAGAACCCCGGGAGGGGAGUGAAAUAGAACCUGAAACCCUGCACUUACAAGCUGUGGAAGCACAUUUCUUGUGUGACCGCGUACUUUUUGUAGAACGGGCCAACGAGUUACGUUAAGUAGCAAGGUUAAGCACUUAAGGUGCGGAGCCGUAGCGAAAGCGAGUUUUAACUGAGCGUUCAGUUACUUGACGUAGACCCGAAACCGGGCGACCUACCCAUGAGCAGGAUGAAGCGAAAGUAAAAUUUCGUGGAGGUCCGAACCCACGAGCG
RNAcentral lists this ribosomal RNA (481 nucleotides) under Clostridioides difficile. RNAcentral describes it as "bacterial LSU rRNA". It matches the Rfam family "Bacterial large subunit ribosomal RNA", at positions 305 to 788 of the family's 2925-position model. Lineage: Bacteria; Bacillati; Bacillota; Clostridia; Peptostreptococcales; Peptostreptococcaceae. The record is from RNAcentral.